GCCAGUACUAGGGAAAAUUCAUUCACAUGUGUUAGAACCUCACAACACUUUUUUAUGAUAAUUGCACAAAACAAAACUAAAAACAACUUGAAAGUUUCAGAAUGAGUUUUAAUGAAACAGAAAUGUGGUUUUAUUUAAAUGAAUUAUUCUGCCAAUGGUACAGAUAAUUGGUAAUAAUACAUGGAAAAUUCUCAUUUUUUAAAUGAUUAUACAAAUAAAUAUAUAAAAAUAUAAUAUACGGAAUACAUACAUACAUACAUAUCUAUAUCUAUAUCUAUAUAUAAUUGCUUACAGUCUUGUUUUGCUUCAGUCCUAUCCAGAAGUUGCCUCCUUUACCCUUGAGAAGGUCUUUCACAGCAUCCAUUUCUUCUUGGUUCUCGAUGGUGGCCAGGGUGGCGGGGAACCUGGAGGCUAUCCCAGGCAACAUGGGGCACAAGGUGGGGUACACCCUGGACAGGGUGCCAAGCCAUUGCAGGGCACAAUCACACAGACGUUCACAUACCACAGACACUUUUGGACAUGCCAAUCAGCCUACAGCACAUGUCUUUGGACUGGUGGGGUAAACCGGAGUACCUGGAUGAAACUCCCAAAGCACGGGGAGAACAUACAAACUCCACACACAGAGGGCAGUGGCAGGAAUCAAAGCCCCAACCCUGGAGGUGUGAGGCAAGCAUGCUAACUACUAAACCACCAUGCUCCCAGGAAUGUAAUUAUUAACCUAAAAUCUAAAUUCCACAAUGUGACUGUAAAGGUGCUCUGAUGUGUGUGUGUGUGUGUGUGUGUGUGUGUGUGUGUGUGUGUGUGUGUGUGUGUGUGUGUGUGUGUGUGUGUGUGUGUGUGUGUGUGUGUGUGUCUCUC
Long non-coding RNA from Ictalurus punctatus (channel catfish), 858 nucleotides. RefSeq lists it as uncharacterized. The transcript is spliced from 2 exons. The record is from RefSeq and is a predicted model, not a curated record. Lineage: Eukaryota; Metazoa; Chordata; Actinopteri; Siluriformes; Ictaluridae.